AUCGCUUCUCGGCCUUUUGGCUAAGAUCAAGUGUAGUAUCUAUUGUUCCAAUUACUCAUGAUGUGUGUUUAUCGUAUGAAUAAAAGCAAAGUUAUCCUUA
The sequence is a small nuclear RNA, 100 nucleotides long. Its record names the gene U2. It matches the Rfam family "U2 spliceosomal RNA". From Rfam's summary of the family: U2 is a small nuclear RNA (snRNA) component of the spliceosome (involved in pre-mRNA splicing). Complementary binding between U2 snRNA (in an area lying towards the 5' end but 3' to hairpin I) and the branchpoint sequence (BPS) of the intron results the bulging out of an unpaired adenosine, on the BPS, which initiates a nucleophilic attack at the intronic 5' splice site, thus starting the first of two transesterification reactions that mediate splicing. The record is from Ensembl.